UUAUAUUUAAUAUAAUUUGUAUUAAUAAUUUUGAAUUAUUU
RNAcentral lists this transfer RNA (41 nucleotides) under Rhopalomyia pomum. RNAcentral describes it as "partial tRNA-Gln". Lineage: Eukaryota; Metazoa; Arthropoda; Insecta; Diptera; Cecidomyiidae. The record is from RNAcentral.